RNAcentral lists this ribosomal RNA (2539 nucleotides) under human oral metagenome. Its description in RNAcentral is "bacterial LSU rRNA". It matches the Rfam family "Bacterial large subunit ribosomal RNA", at positions 508 to 2925 of the family's 2925-position model. The record is from RNAcentral.
GGAAUGGUGAAAAGUACCCCGGGAGGGGAGUGAAAUAGUACCUGAAACCGUGUGCUUACAAGCCGUUGGAGCCUUUUGGGGUGACAGCGUGCCUUUUGAAGAAUGAGCCUGCGAGUUAGUGUUAUGUCGCGAGGUUAACCCGUGUGGGGUAUCCGUAGCGAAAGCGAGUCUGAAUAGGGCGUUUGAGUGGCAUGACCUAGACCCGAAGCGGAGUGAUCUAUCCAUGGCCAGGUUGAAGCGACGGUAAGACGUCGUGGAGGACCGAACCCACUUCAGUUGAAAAUGGAGGGGAUGAGCUGUGGAUAGGGGUGAAAGGCCAAUCAAACUCUGUGAUAGCUGGUUCUCCCCGAAAUGCAUUUAGGUGCAGCGUUACGUGUUUCUUGCCGGAGGUAGAGCUACUGGAUGGCCGAUGGGCCUUCACGGGUUACUGACGUCAGCUAAACUCCGAAUGCCGGUAAGUGAGAGCGUAGCAGUGAGACAGUGGGGGAUAAGCUUCAUUGUCGAGAGGGAAACAGCCCAGACCACCAACUAAGGCCCCUAAGCGUGUGCUAAGUGGGAAAGGAUGUGGAGUUGCUUAGACAACCAGGAGGUUGGCUUAGAAGCAGCCAUCCUUGAAAGAGUGCGUAACAGCUCACUGGUCAAGUGAUUCUGCGCCGAUAAUGUAGCGGGGCUCAAGUACACCGCCGAAGUUGUGGCAAUGAUCUUUUUGGAUUGUUGGGUAGGGGAGCGUCGUGUGGCCGUUGAAGCUGCGGUGUAAACCAGUGGUGGAGGCUAUGCGAGUGAGAAUGCAGGCAUGAGUAGCGAAAGAUGAGUGAGAAACUCAUCCGCCGGAUGAUCAAGGGUUCCAGGGUCAAGUUAAUCUGCCCUGGGUUAGUCGGGGCCUAAGGCGAGGCCGACAGGCGUAGUCGAUGGAUAACGGGUUGAUAUUCCCGUACCGGUGAAAAACCGCCCAUACUGAUAUUGUGAUGCUAACCAUGCGAAGCAUGAUGUGCAGGCUUUUGUUUGUGUGUUGUGUGGGUUGUGGGACCCGAUCUUUGGAGGUAAACGUGUUAACAGGUGUGACGCAGGAAGGUAGCCAAGCCACGCGAUGGUUGUCGUGGUCUAAGCGUGUAGGGUUGUCGGUUGUUAAAUGCGCCGGCUGUGUGCCUGAGACGUGAUGGGACCCCGUUUUUGGGGGAUUUGGUGAUCCUAUGCUGCCGAGAAAAGCAUCGGCGUGAGGUUUUAGCCGCCCGUACCCUAAACCGACACAGGUGAUCAGGUAGAGAAUACUAAGGCGAUCGAGAGAAUCAUGGUUAAGGAACUCGGCAAAAUGCCCCCGUAACUUCGGGAGAAGGGGGACCUUGAGCGUGAUGGGCACUUGCUGCCUGGAGCGUGUAUGGGUCGCAGAGACCAGGGGGAAGCGACUGUUUAUCAAAAACACAGGUCCGUGCGAAGUCGUAAGACGAUGUAUACGGACUGACUCCUGCCCGGUGCUGGAAGGUUAAGAGGAUUGGUUAGCCUUUUUUGGGCGAAGCUGAGAAUUUAAGCCCCAGUAAACGGCGGUGGUAACUAUAACCAUCCUAAGGUAGCGAAAUUCCUUGUCGGGUAAGUUCCGACCUGCACGAAUGGAGUAACGACUUCCCUACUGUCUCAACCAUGAACUCGGCGAAAUUGCAGUACGAGUAAAGAUGCUCGUUUCGCGCAGCAGGACGGAAAGACCCCGUGACCUUUACUAUAGUUUGGUAUUGGUGUUUGGUUUGGCUUGUGUAGGAUAGGUGGGAGACUGUGAAGCAUGGACGCUAGUUUGUGUGGAGUCGUUGUUGAAAUACCACUCUGGUCAAUCUGGAUGUCUAACUUCGGGCCAUGAUCUGGUUCAGGGACAGUGCCUGAUGGGUAGUUUAACUGGGGCGGUUGCCUCCUAAAGUGUAACGGAGGCGCCCAAAGGUUCCCUCAGCCUGGUUGGCAAUCAGGUGUUGAGUGUAAGUGCACAAGGGAGCUUGACUGUGAGACUGGCAGGUCGAGCAGGGACGAAAGUCGGGACUAGUGAUCCGGCGGUACGUUGUGGAACGGCCGUCGCUCAACGGAUAAAAGGUACCUCGGGGAUAACAGGCUGAUCUUGCCCAAGAGUCCAUAUCGACGGCAUGGUUUGGCACCUCGAUGUCGGCUCGUCGCAUCCUGGGGCUGGAGUCGGUCCCAAGGGUUGGGCUGUUCGCCCAUUAAAGCGGUACGCGAGCUGGGUUCAGAACGUCGUGAGACAGUUCGGUCCCUAUCCGCUGCGCGCGUUGGAAAUUUGAGAAAGGCUGUCCUUAGUACGAGAGGACCGGGACGGACGAACCUCUGGUAUGUCAGUUGUACCGCCAGGUGCAUGGCUGAUUGGCUACGUUCGGGAGGGAUAACCGCUGAAAGCAUCUAAGCGGGAAGCCUGUUUCGAGAUGAGAUUUCCUGGCACUUUUGGUGUGUGAGGCUCCUUAUAGAUGAUGAGGUUGAUAGGCCGGGUAUGGAAGCGGGGACUGAAGACUCGUGGAGUUGACUGGUACUAAUAGGCCGAAGGCUUACUUUU